RNAcentral lists this ribosomal RNA (852 nucleotides) under uncultured bacterium. RNAcentral describes it as "bacterial SSU rRNA". It matches the Rfam family "Bacterial small subunit ribosomal RNA", at positions 8 to 858 of the family's 1533-position model. The record is from RNAcentral.
AGAGUUUGAUCUUGGCUCAGGAUGAACGCUAGCGGCAGGCUUAACACAUGCAAGUCGAGGGGCAGCAUGUCCAGCAAUGGAUGAUGGCGACCGGCGGAAGGGUGCGUAACGCGUGAGCAACAUGCCCUAUACAGGGAGAUACACCAGAGGAAACUUGGUCUAAUAUCCCAUAGCAUUCAUUGAAGGCAUCUUUAAUGAAUUAAAGCUUCGGUGGUAUAGGAUUGGCUCGCGUGACAUUAGCCAGAUGGUGAGGUAACGGCUCACCAUAGCAAUGAUGUCUAGGGGUUUUGAGAGGAAGGCCCCCCACACUGGGACUGAGACACGGCCCAGACUCCUACGGGAGGCAGCAGUGAGGAAUAUUGGACAAUGGAUGGAAAUCUGAUCCAGCCAUGCCGCGUGCAGGAAGACGGCCUUAUGGGUUGUAAACUGCUUUUAUACGGGAGCAAUAAGGGUUACGAGUAAUCCGAUGAGAGUACUGUAUGAAUAAGGAUCGGCUAACUCCGUGCCAGCAGCCGCGGUAAUACGGAGGAUCCGAGCGUUAUCCGGAAUUAUUGGGUUUAAAGGGUGCGUAGGCGGCCAUUUAAGUCAGCGGUGAAAUUUUGCAGCUUAACUGUAACAGUGCCGUUGAUACUGUUUGGCUAGGAUUUGGUUGUAGUGUGCGGAAUGUGUGGUGUAGCGGUGAAAUGCUUAGAUAUCACACAGAACACCGAUUGCGAAGGCAGCACACUAAGUCAUUAUUGACGCUGAGGCACGAAAGUGUGGGGAUCAAACAGGAUUAGAUACCCUGGUAGUCCACACUGUAAACGAUGAUAACUCGCUGUCGGCGAUACACAGUCGGGGCCAAGCGAAAGC